GACGAACGCUGGCGGCGUGCUUAACACAUGCAAGUCGAACGGAAAGGCCCUGCUUUUGUGGGGUGCUCGAGUGGCGAACGCGUGAGUAACACGUGAGUAACCUGCCCUUGACUUUGGGAUAACUUCAGGAAACUGGGGCUAAUACCGGAUAGGAGCUCCUGCUGCAUGGUGGUGGUUGGAAAGUUUCGGCGGUUGGGGAUGGACUCGCGGCUUAUCAGCUUGUUGGUGGGGUAGUGGCUUACCAAGGCUUUGACGGGUAGCCGGCCUGAGAGGGUGACCGGCCACAUUGGGACUGAGAUACGGCCCAGACUCCUACGGGAGGCAGCAGUGGGGAAUAUUGCACAAUGGGCGGAAGCCUGAUGCAGCAACGCCGCGUGCGGGAUGACGGCCUUCGGGUUGUAAACCGCUUUCGCCUGUGACGAAGCGUGAGUGACGGUAAUGGGUAAAGAAGCACCGGCUAACUACGUG
Molecule: ribosomal RNA, 468 nt
Filed under: uncultured bacterium
Lineage: Bacteria
Description: partial 16S ribosomal RNA
Rfam family: Bacterial small subunit ribosomal RNA
Source: RNAcentral